Molecule: ribosomal RNA, 535 nt
Filed under: uncultured Acidobacteriota bacterium
Lineage: Bacteria; Pseudomonadati; Acidobacteriota
Description: bacterial SSU rRNA
Rfam family: Bacterial small subunit ribosomal RNA
Source: RNAcentral
AGAGUUUGAUCAUGGCUCAGAAUCAACGCUGGCGGCGUGCCUAACACAUGCAAGUCGAACGCGAAAGGGGCUUCGGCCCUGAGUAGAGUGGCGAACGGGUGAGUAACGCGUGGGUGACCUACCUUCGAGUGGGGGAUAACGUUCCGAAAGGGACGCUAAUACCGCAUAACAUCCUGUUUUUGAACAGGCGGAGAUCAAAGCCGGGGACCGCAAGGCCUGGCGCUUGGAGAGGGGCCCGCGUCCGAUUAGCUAGUUGGUGGGGUAAUGGCUCACCAAGGCAACGAUCGGUAGCCGGCCUGAGAGGGCGGACGGCCACACUGGGACUGAGACACGGCCCAGACUCCUACGGGAGGCAGCAGUGGGGAAUUGUUCGCAAUGGGCGCAAGCCUGACGACGCAACGCCGCGUGGAGGAUGAAGGUCUUCGGAUUGUAAACUCCUGUUGACCGGGACGAAUGAUUCACGACCUAAUACGUCGUGGAAAUGACGGUACCGGUUGAGGAAGCCCCGGCUAACUCUGUGCCAGCAGCCGCGGUA